RNAcentral lists this ribosomal RNA (220 nucleotides) under uncultured bacterium. Its description in RNAcentral is "partial 16S ribosomal RNA". It matches the Rfam family "Bacterial small subunit ribosomal RNA", at positions 111 to 334 of the family's 1533-position model. The record is from RNAcentral.
UAAUGUAUGGGGAUCUGCCCGAUAGGAGGGGAUAACUACUGGAAACGGUGGCUAAUACCGCAUAAUGUCUACGGACCAAAGCAGGGGCUCUUCGGACCUUGCACUAUCGGAUGAACCCAUAUGGGAUUAGCUAGUAGGUGGGGUAAAGGCUCACCUAGGCGACGAUCUCUAGCUGGUCUGAGAGGAUGAUCAGCCACACUGGGACUGAGACACGGCCCAG